Molecule: ribosomal RNA, 408 nt
Filed under: uncultured bacterium
Lineage: Bacteria
Description: partial 16S ribosomal RNA
Rfam family: Bacterial small subunit ribosomal RNA
Source: RNAcentral
AGUGAACGCUGGCGGCGUGCCUAAUACAUGCAAGUCGAACGAAGUGGCGCACGGGUGAGUAAUAUAUAGUUAAUCUGCCCUACACAGAGGAACAACAGUUGGAAACGCCUGCUAAUACCUCAUAGUGUAGGAUGAGACUAUAUCGUAUCAGCUAGUUGGUACGGUAAUGGCGUACCAAGGCUAUGACGCGUAACUGGUCUGAGAGGAUGAGCAGUCACAUUGGAAGUGAGACACGGUUCGAACUCCUACGGGAGGCAGCAGUAAGGGAUAGUGCGCAGUGGGGGAAACCCUGACGCAGCAACGGCGCGUGGAGGAUGAUAAUUUUCGGAGCGUAAACUCGUUAUAUCAGGAAAGCGGUACCUGAUGAGAAAGCACCGGCUAACUACGUGCCAGCAGCCGCGGUAAUAC